RNAcentral lists this unclassified non-coding RNA (294 nucleotides) under uncultured Gammaproteobacteria bacterium. RNAcentral describes it as "contains 16S-23S intergenic spacer region". Lineage: Bacteria; Pseudomonadati; Pseudomonadota; Gammaproteobacteria. The record is from RNAcentral.
UCGGACUACUGGGGUUUCUAAUCCUGUUUGCUCCCCACGCUUUCGUGCAUGAGCGUCAGUGUCGACCCAGGGGGCUGCCUUCGCCAUCGGUGUUCCUCCACAUCUCUACGCAUUUCACUGCUACACGUGGAAUUCCACCCCCCUCUGCCGCACUCAAGCCCUACAGUCACAAACGCAGUUCCCAGGUUAAGCCCGGGGAUUUCACAUCUGUCUUAUAGAGCCGCCUGCGCACGCUUUACGCCCAGUAAUUCCGAUUAACGCUCGCACCCUACGUAUUACCGCGGCGGCUGACAC